GAUUUUUGCCAUUUAAUUGUGAAGUGUCUUGAUUUAGCCCUAUUUGGGUUCAGCCUGUUUGGGAUCCUUUGGGCCUCUUGGAUCUGGAUGUCUAUUUCCCUCCCCAGGUUUGGGAAGUUUUCAGCCAUUAUUGCUUUAAAUAUACUUUCUGUUGUUUCUUUUUCUCCUUCUAGAAUUCCCCUAAUGCAAAUAUUAUUUGCUUUCAUUGUGUCCAGUAAUUCCUGUAGCCUCUUUUCACUUUCUUUCAUUCUUUUUGCUCCUCUAAUUUCAGUGGUGGUUUUUUUGGUUUUUUUUCCAGUUCACUGCAGUGUUCUGCAUGGUUGAGUCUGCUUUUAAAACCCUUUAUUGAAUUCUUCAGUUAUAUUUUUCAGCUCUGAUUUUGGGGCUUGUGGGUUUUUUUGUUUGUUUGGUUUGGGGAUGAUUUCUACUUUGUUGAACUUCUUGUUCAUGUAUUGUUUUCAUAACUUUAUUUAGUGGUCUGUGUGUUCUUAUAGCUCACUAAACUUUAUUACAAUUAUUCUGAAUUUUUUAUCUGACAGCUCAGAGGUCUCCAUUUCUUUUGGGUCAGUUACUAGAGCGUCAUUCAUUUCCGUUGGUAUGUCAUACUUACCUGAUUGUUCAAGAUCUUUGAUUCUUUAUGUUGGUCUCUGUGCCUUUCUUUAAGUGGUCUCCUCUUUCAGACUUAGCAUGUUUGAUUUGGCAGGGACAUUUCUUCACCAGUCAGCUUAGUGUGGGUUUCUGGACAUGUCUGCUGGUAACAUCCUUGGGUAGGUGGGGCCUCCUAGUAGAGUCUAUUUUUAGGCAAGCAGCUGUUAAUGCUCUGAGGUAAGGGGUAUGGCACUGGCCAAGAACAGCUAGAUAACACUGCUGGCUCGGUUCCCUCCUCAAGGGAAGCUGUGGGAUGAUCUUCGCGAUUUCCUGAAAUCUCUGGUCAGGCUUACUCGACAGUUGGGACUGGGUACUACGUUGGCCUUUGUUCAGGCUAUGAACUAGCUUCUCUGCCCUUGCAGGGCGGCUGGAUAGGACCUGGGGCCUGCACAGCUUGUUCGGGGACCUGAUUCAGGAAAGAGUGUGCACUUAACAUCCUGGUCAGAUGAGGCCACUGGUUUUGCUCUACAGAUGUGGAAAGCCCAGAGCUAUACUCCAUCAAGUGACACUGUAAAUGGGGCCUUUGGAUGAGCUAUGCAUUUCCCUGUGUGCUCUGGUAAGGUCCCCUAUGUGGCUGGGUUGAAGGCUGAAUUCAGCAAUAAGUAGGCUAUGAAUUACUUUCCCUAGUUGGGUGCAGCAGGAAAAGCAGCUCAAAAGCCGUCAGUGCUUUCUUCUGGACUCCAGUCAACCCAGGCCUCGAGUUCCCUGGCCAGACAGAACCACUGGAUUUGCUUUGGGUGGCGUCAGUUCUGUCCACCUGCUGCUUGGCUUAAGAGCUGCUGGGCCACAUAGCUUCCAGGUAUUCUGGUGAGCCCUUCCUGUCAGAAGGGCAGGGGGUCACAUUCUGUAGGCACAGGGGCUGGAGAGGGCUAUGUCUCUGGUUCCUGUUGGAGCAAGACUGGAAGGGCCCGCUUGAGGCGACUCCCAAAUUUUCCUGGCUAGAUUUUCUGAUCAGGAGGGACUGGGGGCCGUGCUCUUCAGCAGGGGUAGCUGUGGCUCAGCUCUUCUGCCAGGGCAUGGGCAGAGCAGGCAGCAAGGCCAGAACUCCUUCUUUAGGGACCCAAAUUUGGCAGGCCUGAACCUUGCCAAAUUCCCCGGUCAGACUGUGCCACUGACCUGGCUUGCAGAUGAGCGUACACGCUGGUUGGGACUACUGCUUGGCCUGUGCUCAUAGGAACGCCGUCUUCCAAGACCCAAGCGCUGGUUGUUGGAAGCCCCUCCCUGCUUCUCGGUCUCAGGCUCCUAGAGGUUGAGCCCCACAGCUUUCCCCGAAGUCCUUGUGGAGUGAAACCAGAGUAUGGGCUCCAACUAAGUACAACAUUAGGUAGGCGGGGGGGCUAGAUAUCACCCAUGGGCUGUCCCCACCGGAGGAACCGGAGGCUUAGGGGAGAAGUCUCCACGUAGUGCUGAGCCAGCAUGGGGGAGGGGCAACGUGGUCAGCAUGUAGCUGUUCCUCUUACCCUUCCAGUGCAGUCCAUCUUGGUCUCUCUUUUGCUGUGGGGUGCCUUAGCCUCACUCCUGAGCUCUAGGAUCCUUUCAUUGGUGUCCUAUCCAGGAACAGUUGUUAGUUGCCUUCUUGGGAAGGGGAGUAUACUCAAGAACUACCUAUGUUACCAUCUUGGUAAUGUUACUCCCCUCCCCUCUCUUACCUUGUUCCCAUUUCAGCAAAAUUUUUAAUACGUUACCCUAUUAGCAGAUUUCAAAAUAUUGAUGUAGACUAUAAAAGUAAUCCCUUUACAUUAUAGAAUGUACUGAUAAUUAAAAACCACACAGUUGUAAAUGUUUGUUAUCUCCGUCCAAACUUUCUCCGCUGAGUUUCUUCAGAUCAUUUAUAACCCAGUAAAGUCCCAUUUGUUACCAAAAGACAGGAGAAUGAUUCUACUUCAAAUGUGCAUUUUAGCAAAACAAACUUUUCAGAACUUUCAGCAGUCAGUUGUUACUGUUAAAUCAUAUUAACCAGGUACACAGUGUCUAAAGUGAUCAGUGACAAAACUUUUUCUAUUUGUUAAAUAGGACCACCAGAUUCUCUAGUUUUUAACUGGUAUUUUUCCUUAUCAAAAUAUUAUACUACUAACUUUGUUACACUUUAGGAGUCAUGGUGGUGGUAACGCAGUCUCCGGAGGAGUAAUAAAAGGUUGUUGUUUUAAAAUGUUACGUUUUAUAACAUUUACAGUUUAAAAUGUUAUAUUUAAUGUGAUCUGAAUUCUUAAGAACCAAAGAGUAAAUGUUAUUUCUAUUUUAUUAGGUAUUAGACCCGUUAGAGAAAGUGAGUUAUAAGUUUCAGCAAUUUUUAAAUGAUGAGAUUGCAGAAAAAGGCAACAAGAUUAUUAUUAACAGUUCAAAAUAUAUUAUCUAAAGAAAAGUUAAAGUGAUUGUGAAACCUGAAAAGCUCAAGCAAUUACAGACCUCGUCAGUUACAGAGACAUCUGCUAACCACAAGGGAGAAACUUCAGGCAGUGAGAAACACAGCUUCGUCAGAAUCACGGUCCUUGCCACUGUCUUCGCUUGGUGCACACUCCCCACCACUUGGGGACCGACAGCUCAAGUCCUCCACCCCGGACUCUUGAUCGCUGUUGGCCGACAGAUCCGGAUCUGAGCUUUUCAAAUUGUCUUGGGUUAGAAUGAGAGCAGAAUCUUCAUCACCUUGUGAAGGACUCCUGGAUGGAAAGGAUUUCAUGUUUCCACUGUAAUCCUGGGGAGUGUUGGCUGUGCUGUUGUCUGAGGUAGAAAACCCUGAGUGUUUGCUGGGUUCGCUUUGCUUAGCCUUCACUUUAGUGUGAUUUAACUGGACUUUCUGAAUUUUUUCCAGCCUCUAAAAAAAAAAAAAAAAAAAGUUUUUUUAGGGAAAAAUCAUAAAUAAUUUAGUAUUUAUUACUUUCCACCUGGGUAUAAUCUUAAGAACACGGGAUUUAAAUGGACUUGGGUUCAAAGCUAGACUUUAUGACCUCAGACAAAAUAGAUUAUGUGAGACUUGCUUUCUUCAUCUCGAAUUAAAUGAAGGUAAAUACCAGCUUUACUAUAGGUUUUCUAUAAAAUGCAAAAAAAGAAAAAAAAUAAUAACAUAGAUAAAGCUCCUGGCAAUCAGUAGUCAUCUUUUCUAGACCUAUAAUGUUUUACAUGAUGAUUUUCAUCCUAUAAACUCAAAAUGCAUUUUUAAAACAUCAGGAAUGAGGUGUUUAUUAUCUAAUUUUUUAAAUUAAGAAACAUCACUUAACCACAAAACACCUUCUAAAGUAUACAGUUCAGUGGUUUUAGUAUGUUCGCAAGGUUAUACAACAAUUCCCUACUACCUAAUUCCAAAAUAUUUUCAUCAUCCUCUAAGAAAACCCCAUAACCAUUAGCAGUCACUCCCCAUUUCAGCCUCCCACAGCUCUGGCCGCCACUAAGCUACUUUCUAUCUCUAUGGAUUUGCCUCGUCUGGACAUUUCAUAUAAAUGGAAUCAUACAACACAUAUAACAUGUGUCUGGCUUCUUUCCCUUAGUUCAUGUUCUCAGGGUUCAUCCCCACUGUAGCACGUAUCAGUACUUCGUUCCUUCUUAUGGCUGAAUGAUACUCCAUUACAUGAAUAUCCACGUUUUAUCUCUUCAUCGGCUGAUGGACAUUUGGGUUGUUCAAAAUACACUUUACCAGAUUUCAUCCUUUGGUGUCAACAAGGGGGGUGUUAUAAGAUCAAGUAUUACAUAUUCAUUUAAAAGCAUUCAUCUUCAGUUGUUAUGUGCAAAGAGCACUGUAGUGGGCAGUAUGAGUAAUUGAGAUAGAUACAGAUCCAGCCAUAAAGAACUUGGGUUAUGGAGGCAGAGUUCAGGUGAUGUAAGAAUUUGGAAGAGAUAAAAAUUAUUUAAGAGGGCAGGUGGGAUAGCUAGAGGGAAAAGAUCCAAGCAAGCUUCAGGAAUGGAGCGUUUUAAUAAGACUCUGAAAGAAUUAAACUCAGGUGCUGGUGAUGGUUAGAGCAUUUAUGGCAAAAGGGACAGUGAGAAGAAAACCACCAAAGUAGGAAGAUGUCAUUGUGUACAAGAAGCAGAGAGCAGUUGAAUUUGAGCAAGGGGAAUAGUAGAGAAUAAAGCUGAAAGGGUUGAUUAGGCCGAAUUGUGGGAAAAUCUUAAACGCGAGGCUAAGGGGUUUUGACUUUGUUAUAAGGGAAAAGAGCCAAAGGCUUUUAAUUAAGGUGUUUUCAGAUUUUCUAAGUAGUUUUUUUCCUUCAUUUUUAGUAUUUUAACAAAAAGAAUAUUGGAACAGACCAGGAGAAUAGUUAGCCUUUCCUAAAGCUUGGGUAUCUUUAGGAAGAGUAAAUAAAACUGGCUGAGUGAGUAAAGACAUGUGUGGACUUGAAAAUGGCAAACCUCAUAGAAGUUUUUCCAGUGCUCCAGAAUUCUAAAAACCUAAGCUGUGCAUCAUUUCAUUUCUCUGUGUGCUAUUUAAUUCAAGGUCUCUCUCGCCCUGGCGGCAAGUCACAGUCAAUCACUGUGGCACUCUAAAGAUUCUCCAUCAGAAUCUCCAGGCUUAAGAGCCCUGGCAUUAGGGUUUUUGUGAGGUGGUGGUUUUGAUACACGGAGUCAAAAACUGUUCUCCAAUCGUGUAAAAUUAGCGCAGAGCUCUCCACAUAGGUCUCAAGAGGAUUUGUUGAACCCUUGCAGAUUUAUAAUAGAGUAAGAUUUAUGCUUGCCUUUAAAAUUUCUCAAAACCAGCAGUUUAACUUGCUGAAUGUGUUUUAUCCAUCUGGCUCCUGUAUGUACUUGAGUGUACAACCCUAGACCUAAGAUCUUCUACUUAGAUCUUGAAAGGCGAUGUUUCCUAGGAAUGUUAUGGGAGCAUCAGAGGAGUCUGCCUCACCAGCUACCUCCAAAUGACUAUCUUAUUGGUGGGGUCCCUGAACCAUCAUACAUGUCCCCCAGGCCACCCUUUUAGGGGCGACAUCCAGAUGACUAUCAUCAGGUAAAGGAAGUAGACUUUGUUGGAACUCAUCUUGUGAUAGUUCGCCGACUUCCAUUUAGAAAUUUAUCAAACUAAAGGUAAAAACCUGGAAGUUCUUUUCACGUCAUAGUACUGUUUUAUGCACUAUGAUGGGAAAUCUUAGUUUAUUGACAUUUUCCCGGCCUUCAUCCUAAUACUUUUAUCUGUAGUAUGUAAGAUCUCAAGGGGGCACAGAAGCCUUUUCAUCCUAUUUAAACCUUUAGUCUCAAUUUAGAAUUCAGGUCCAGACAACAGCAAUCGGUUGCCAAUUGUUGAGCAAGUGAAAGACCUGAUGAUGCCAUGGAGAGUUAACAAGGUGAGUGAAGCAGAGUGAAGCAAAGAAGCCAUGUGGUUUUAGGGAACCACUAAAUAAACCAGUGGUAUCACUGGAAGCAAAGUUAUAAAAUUAGCAAAAAUAUGUACAUUCUAACCGUCCUGUCCAAUUAUUGGGAAAUUAUAAAAGCCAAAAACUAGGCUGUUGGUAACUCGGCCUCGGCCGUUAUCAUGUAUAGGCUAAUAUAAUAAUAUUAUUGAAAGUAAUAAUAAAUUUACAAAAAAAACAAAUUUUUACAAGCACAUAAAACAAAAGCGCAAAGUCAGAUUUUGUUCUUUUCACUUUGAAUCCCACCUUUUUCACGUACUCUCCAGGAAGAUUCAUUUUUGGUUCUCUCAAAUAACAGUAACAAGAUAAAAUGUGACCUAUGGUAGGGAUAAGCAACUAGUUCAGCAAACCCUGUAAGUGAGCCCCCGGCCAGACGCCUGAAACGUGCUGAGUGCCCAGGUCUGGGCUUCGGUUACCUGGACGCUCACCCGGUGGCCAUCUGCUUCAGGUUAUCCACUCGGCUAAAAUAUAAAGUGGCUACGUUGCCUCAUUUCACGAACCCCGAGUCACAAAAGGCCGUCACGGAACAGUGUUUGUCAGGAAAUAAGCACAGAAAGUAGGUGAACAGGAAGUGUGUCUUACUUCUUCUAGGGCCUCUCGUUCUUCCUCCAGCUGCUGGGUUUCCUCCUUCACCGCCAUGAGGUAAUCGGUAACAGACUGUCGGGGCUGCAGCCCCUUUUCGAAGCGGUUGUACAUCCCACUCCAAAACCUGGAAGAGACAGCAGAGCUUUACGAUGCCACCAUCUCCCAGUCUGUAAAUCACGCUCUCGAGUCUUCUUAAGGUAUCUUUCAUGCCAGAGGCCCAGAGUCCUAAUAAUAACGAAUCACGUUACAUAAGGGAAUGAUUUCGUGCUGGUACUUUCUUUUGCUUGGGAAGGUAAAUUCAUCAUGAGUCUGCUUGUGCCUGUGGUCCUGAAUAAGAAGGCCCAGAUCUUUCUUAAAUAGAAGUAGCACACGUUAUAUUCUUCUUAUUUAAGAAAAAUGCUCUUGGUUUUCACAUAAGCUUGGAAAAUUAGUGCUUAUGCUCUCAUUUAGAAUCUCUCAGCUGCAAAGGGAACCUUCUAAAUUUGAAGGUUGGGGCUUGUUUUUAUCACAACCACCAAAAAUUGAUAUUUCCGUUGGCAUCAUAUCUUUUUUGUUUGUUUGUUUUAAUCCUAUACAACAAAGCAUACUGGAAUGCAGAUGAGAAGAGACAGUAUCAUCACAAGGAUGUCUGCAGAUCCACAUUUUACUUAGAAGAGCACUUUGAGGCCAGGGACUUAGUGCCAUUCAUGGUUUUCUCCAUGAAACCUAGCACUGCCUAGAACAGUGCUUGACCCCCAAUGACAUACUUGACUGGCUAUUACUAACGAAUUAGGAGCAUUAUGUGUCUCAGCAGCUCUCAAGACUGCUAUUUUACACAAACCAUGGAGACUUUUUUUUUCUUUUUAGUGUGGCAGAAUUAACAUUUUUUCAGAAUUCUGACAAAAUAAUUAAGAUAAUUCAGAACAAACACAAAUUGAGGGAGGAAAAACACUGUAGAGGAAGAAAAGCCACUAAGUAUGUUGGGGGUGAGCAGGGAGAAGGAAUGUGGUUUCUCAGUUGAUUCUGUGUGUUUGUCUUUUUUGCUGACCUCUGAGACAUCCUCCCACAUCAUAAAACUUCCAUAUGGAGAAGAAGCCAAAGGCUAAAAUGUAUAACAUGCAGCUCGAAUAGAGUAUAUAGGAUGCCACCCUCCUCUCCCCAUCCCAAUAUAGACAGUCUUACAAUAACUGACUUCCACAAGGAAAUACUUCGAGUAGGAGGAAAUUCAGCAGAGAAAGAAGGUAAAUCAUGGUCACCACCUAAACUUGUGAUUCCACAUCUAACUUACAAGGCACUUGGUUUAUUCCAUCCAUCCUUCCUUUCCUCUGUCCCUUCUUGCUUCCUUUCUUCUUCCCUCCCUGCUUUUUGCUUUUAAGUAAUACUGGAACUUAUACUUUUCAAGCAUCAUUAUUAUAAAACACCAACUUCUAAAGACAGUUCCAUAUUUAGAGGGAAAGAAGAGGGAGAGGAGACACUGGCAAGAAUAUUAGAUCAGAUACUUAACAAGCAUCCUUCUUUGGUGUGUUUUAUGUCCAAAGAAAAGCCUUGAAGCUCAGUGUUUCAUAUGCUUUGGCCUCCAAAUAUUAAACAGUGGCAGAAUCUAAGUUCAUAACCAUACCUAGUAAGGUCCUAGAGGGUUACAUACUUGUACAGGAAGUUGCACGGCGUUGUGGGGAGACGAAGGGUUCCCCUGGUCUGGCUGUGAUCGUCCCUAAAUAGAGGAUUCAUGUAGUCGGCCCGAUUCUUCCACAGGUGAGCCCAUAAAGAGUAUGUUCUUUCUUGAAUUCUGUUAUAAAGAAAAUAAGCCUGAAAAUUAUCUGUCUUGGUUUAUAGAAAUCGUAGAUCUGUAAUUGUCAAAGCUGGAAAGGGACCACUAAUUGUUACGUGUAUAUCCAGUGUCCCUGUCCUGUAGCAGGGAAAUUGACAAUCUGAGUGUGUGUCUUCAUGAGUCAGCAGGAGAGCACCGUAACAGUCUCAACUUCUCUGCUACCUGUACUGGCCUGGACAAGAUGUUUAAUUCCUCUGAGUGUAAAAUAAAACUGCUAUGUAAUUGGGGGGAGGGGAUUCUUCUCCAAAUAGUCAUUGACGUUGUAUUAUUUGCCAGGUACUAUUUAAAUGCUUCACCUGUUUUCUCUCAUUCGGUCCUCACUGAACUCCUAUGAGAUCUGUCCAUUGUACAGAUGAGGAAACUGAGGUUAAGAGAGAUUAGGCAGUUUCUCAAAGUCCCAUAGCUAGUGAGCAGAAUAGCCAGGAUUCACACCCAAGCAGACACCAUCAAGUUGGCUGGUCCGUCACAGCAAACCACAAACUCGUCUAGGAAAACAGGUGAGCUUGAAGGAUGCCCUCUGCUACGUUGAAAUCAUUACCAUUUAAUCAGGAAUCACACUGGAAGCUCCCGAGAGAAAAACCACCCGGUAUUCACGAGAAAAAGUGAAUGUGACACUGUCUGUUUUGACAGCAUAAAACCAGUGGAGUCGAUUUUACUUGAUCAUUUCCAAAAUUAAAUCUGAUUAUUACUAUA
Molecule: long non-coding RNA, 9066 nt
Organism: Acinonyx jubatus (cheetah)
Lineage: Eukaryota; Metazoa; Chordata; Mammalia; Carnivora; Felidae
Exons: 2
Source: RefSeq, a predicted model, not a curated record